RNAcentral lists this ribosomal RNA (414 nucleotides) under Triticum aestivum (bread wheat). Its description in RNAcentral is "partial small subunit ribosomal RNA". Lineage: Eukaryota; Viridiplantae; Streptophyta; Magnoliopsida; Poales; Poaceae. The record is from RNAcentral.
AUGGCAGCCGCAGCACUGAGGGCGCAGCUCAACGCUCAUAUCACCGGCAUGUACACUGAUGGUGUCAUGGACGAGGACACGUUCGAGGAGCUGCGGGACGAGGGCACCGCCGUCGAGGUCUCCCGCCUCUUCAUCUACGACGCCUCCAAGAUCAUCGACGACAUCGACAUCCUGAUGGAGGAGCCCAAAGUGGACUUUGAUGAGGUGGAAGCCCUGACGCAGCAUCUCAUGCGGUGCACCUCCAGGGCCCAGCUCAACGCCCAUAUCGCCGGCAUGUACACCGAGGGUGUCGUGGACGAGGACACAUUCGAGGAGCUGUGGGACCAGGGCACCACGUCAAGGGAGGAGCCCGAAGUGGACUUUGACGAGGUGCAAGCCCUGACGCAGCAGCUCACACGGUGCACCUCCAGGUGA